Non-coding RNA from Pelobates cultripes (western spadefoot toad), 238 nucleotides. The record is from the annotation of a GenBank genome assembly. NCBI's taxonomy places the organism in Eukaryota, Metazoa, Chordata, Amphibia, Anura, Pelobatidae.
CCUCAAAAUAAAUGUAAUUCAUGGGCAUCAGAUCUAAUCAAAUCUUGGGCGGCAUCCAUUACUAAGAAAAUAUGAUGCCCGUUUUACCGAGAGAAGAUGCAUUAAAACAUGCGGUCAUUGGGAAGACUGGAAGAAGCAGCCAUGUGUCAGGGGAGCUUUUAGAUAUUUUUGGGCUUCUGUGUCCCAGGUGCGAGGUGAGGUAAAAUAUUAUUGUAUCAAUACAGAGUUUGAAAAAAAU